ACAAGCGAAAAGCUUAAAACUCAAAGGACUUGACGGCGUUCCACACCGACCUAGAGGAGCCUGUCCUAUAAUCGACACCCCACGAUAAACCUUACCCCACCUUGAAACACCAGCCUAUAUACCGCCGUCGUCAGCCUGCCUAAUGAUAGCACUACAGCAGACAAAACAGCUAGUCUCCUACUAAAACGUCAGGUCAAGGUGUAGCUAAUGGUUGGGUUAGAGAUGGGCUACAUUCUCUAAAUACUAGAGCACCUACCGUAAGCAAUAUGAAACAUAAGCCAAAAGGCGGAUUUAACAGUAAGCACAGCAAGACAAGCCAUACUGAAGCCCCGCUCUGGAACGCGUACACACCGCCC
Molecule: ribosomal RNA, 356 nt
Filed under: Geckolepis maculata
Lineage: Eukaryota; Metazoa; Chordata; Lepidosauria; Squamata; Gekkonidae
Description: partial 12S ribosomal RNA
Rfam family: Bacterial small subunit ribosomal RNA
Source: RNAcentral